Molecule: non-coding RNA, 68 nt
Organism: Podarcis lilfordi (Lilford's wall lizard)
Lineage: Eukaryota; Metazoa; Chordata; Lepidosauria; Squamata; Lacertidae
Source: the annotation of a GenBank genome assembly
UGUGUGUGAUUGUGUGUGUAUAUGUGUGUAUGUGUAUACACACACACACACACACACACAUAUAUAUG